Molecule: ribosomal RNA, 253 nt
Filed under: uncultured bacterium
Lineage: Bacteria
Description: partial 16S ribosomal RNA
Rfam family: Bacterial small subunit ribosomal RNA
Source: RNAcentral
UACGGGGGGGGCAAGCGUUGUUCGGAAUUACUGGGCGUAAAGGGCUCGUAGGCGGCCAACUAAGUCAGACGUGAAAUCCCUCGGCUUAACCGGGGAACUGCAUCUGAUACUGGAUGGCUUGAGUUCGGGAGAGGGAUGCGGAAUUCCAGGUGUAGCGGUGAAAUGCGCAGAUAUCAGGAGGAACACCAAUAGCGAAGGCAGCUCGCUGGGACGGUACUGACGCUGAGACGCGAAAGCGUGGGGAGCAAACAGG